RNAcentral lists this long non-coding RNA (545 nucleotides) under Salvia miltiorrhiza (redroot sage). Its description in RNAcentral is "long non-coding RNA (SMIL_LNC004015)". The record is from RNAcentral. Lineage: Eukaryota; Viridiplantae; Streptophyta; Magnoliopsida; Lamiales; Lamiaceae.
GGGAAUCUACUAGGGCAGAGAGAGAAGAGAUGUACACCUUCACCCAACAUGAAGGGCGUGGAUGAGGGCUGGGUAGGCUCGUGCGUGUGACACCGUGACAAUGGGGGCACAACCUAUUGAUCAACGGCCCAUAACCAAAGACAUGAAGGCACAAUAAAAAUCCUUGAAUCGAUGACCGAAUGAAUUACCCAAUACAAUACUUAGACUAUGCCCAACCGGCUUUCAUUUAUUUCUGAUAUUUUCUUGUGUUUAUUUUCAGCAUUUACAUAUUGCCCAGAGUAGCUUUAAAUUCUGUUUUGGCCAGAGACUGGUAAGUGACACCUUUGCCCAGAGAAGGGCAACCUCAAAUAAACUAUGACACUCAGUACCGAGAUAUACCGAUUCCCUGUGGGUUCGACCCUAUAUAUACUUUCCAUUAACUGAUCUUGAUUGCAGGGCAUAUGAAAUUACAAAUAUCAUUUGCCAGAAGUCUUAACGACACUGCCUACUUAUGAAUAUGAUGAAUUAGCUUAUCCGUAUAUCUGUAAGUGAGUAGGAUUGCAUGG